GAGAGAAGCUAAUCUUUCCAACUCUUUAGGUUCCCAUCCAUACAUGAAAAGCCUGGCCUGCUGGGCAGCAAGAUGGAUCCUGACUAUAAGCAAGAUCCACUUUUCUACCUAUUUUUUCAUAGGUAGAAAAAAUCUAGGAUAAGUUGUUAGGGAUGUCCUGUGUGUCUAGGAAGGAAGAUCAGGGAAGAGAGAGAAGUCAGGGAAAGAGAAGUAGAGAGAAGGAAGUAGAGAAGAAGUAGAGAGAGGAGAAGCAAGAUCCCCAGGAGCUUCUUACACACACACACACACAAACACACACACACACACACAGAUCCAUUAGAGAAAGUAAAGCCUGCAUCAUUUGUGCACAUGUAUGCAUCAUGGUAAAACCUAGCCCUAUACACACAAGCUCUCAUUUCAUCCUCUUAACAAUCUCGUUACCCCAUUACUGUUUCCAUUUUUCACAAGUGGAAAGAGGUUUCAAGAGUGAUGUGCUUGCUCAAGGUCGUAGCUGGGCUCCAGCACGUUGCUCUCCUCUGUGAUGUUGCACUAUUCAUAAAACACUUAGUGGAGCAUCCAGCACGUUAGAAGAUAUUAGUGUUAUGAUCUUAGUCCUUCCUCCCGAGUAAAUUGUAGAGUACAUUACCAUUGGAAAUCAGAGGACUCAGAUUCUAGAAAGACCUAAUUCUGCUACCAAUUAACUAGAAGCCCUUGGACGGUGGCAACAGCUAAUGCUUGCCUAGGCUCCUUACUGAUCACCAUGCCCCAUCCUGUCUGCCCCUUGAGGGGGUCCCUUAAAGGUGAUGUGGGGAGAGGUCAGUGCCAUCCUGGCUUGCAGAUAAGAAACCUGGGAGACUUGAGCUGCUUACCUUAACAAGGUUUGUGAUAUAGCAGGUCACUGCUCCUCCCUGGGCCUCAGCGUCCCCAUCUGUAAAAUGGGGAGAAGGGCACAUAAGAUGGACAAUUUCUAAACUCCUCCCCCUCAUUUGAAGUUUCUGGAGUGCAAAAGAAAGAGAAAAGGGAGAGGAAGAAAAAAGAGAGACAGAGUGUUAAAGGAGUGGUUUGGAUUUCAGCUUUUAUUUUUUUAGGCCAUAAUGAGAAAAGAUUCAAACCAGAUGUUGUCUUAGUGACUUGCAGUAGCUGAGAGUGGAACUGUGUUGUGAUAAUACCACAUUAGCAUGAAGCAAUAUAUCUAUCAACAGUCCCAGUCAGAGUAAAGCAGUUGGCAUUUCCAGGGACUGAGUCCCCACGCUUGAGUUCAGCGUUUGAAAGGACCUCAGACCCCAACUGGGUUUCCAAACGCUUCCAGGAAGGGCCCAUUCUUCAGACAGUAUCCAACCGCCAGCUCUCACUGGACCCCAGUCACAGGGAAAGGAAGGGACCCCAGCCGCUCACUUGGCGACACAUUUGAGGCAGGCUGGGGAGGCAGGAAGAGCAGCAGCCCAGAAAAGCCAGGCUCAGUGGGGGCCAGUGGAGCGUGGCCCAAACAGCCCAGAGGGCCACAGGCCACAUUGUUAUUACUUUUUAAUUAAAAUGGCGUCUUUCUCCAUUAUUACAAAAGCCAUGUUUGUUUAUUUUAGCAAAAUUAGACAGGGCAGACCAGGAAAAAGAAAAAAUUAAAAACGACUCAUGACCUAGAGAGAACCAUAGUUAAUGCCUGGGCAUAUUCAGAGUCACGAACUAAAUGCUUAUGGGGCCAGGCAGUUGAUAUAAAUGUGAAUUGGGUGGUAGUAAAAUUAAUAUAAAUGUGUGCAUAGGGUGAGUUAAUUUAUAUAAAUAUUAAUACAAAUAUGUGAACUUUGACAUUAAAAAAUCAGGAAUGUCUGAAUCUGUGAAGUAAUGGAGAAUACAAAGUCAGGUGUAAACGAAUUCAAAAGUCAGAGAGAUUUUAAAUAUUGAUUUCCACUUCAGGGGCCACCAGUUUGAAAUCCCUGCUAUGUAUCCUUCUAUAUCUUUAUGUAUGUAUGUAUAUAUGUAAAGAUACACAUAUAUGCAUAUACACACACAUAUACAGAUAAACAUACAUAUAUACAUAUAUGUAUAUAAUACCCCCCACUUAUCCUUGGUUUCUGUUACCUAAGGUCAACCACGGUCCAAAAAUAUUAAAUGGAAAAUUUCAGAAAUAAACAAUUCAUAAGUUUUAAACUGCAUGCCAUUCUCAGUAGUGUGAUGAAAUUAUCCUCUUGUCCAGUAUACCCAUGCUGUACACAGUCCCCGACUGUUAGUUACAUCGUAGUUGGCUCAGGUCUCAGAUCGAAUGUCCUGGUGUUGCAGUGCUUGUGUUCAAGUCACCCUUAUUUUACUUAGCAACAGCCCCAAAGUGCAAGAGUAGUGAUGUUGGGAAUUUGGAUAUGCCAAAGAGAAGCUGUAAAGUGCUUCCUUUAAGUGAAAAGUCAAGAUAAAAGUUCUUGACUUAAUAGGGAAAGAAAAAAGUCAUAUGCCGAGGUUGCUAUGAUCUGUGGUAAGAAAGACUCUUCCAUCUAUGAAAAUGUGAAGAAGGAAAAUGAAAUGUAUGCUAAUUUUGCUGUCAUACCUCAAACUGCAAAAGUUAUGGCCAUAGUAUAUAAUAAGUGCUUGGUUAAAAUGGAAAAGGCAUUACAAUUGUGGGUGGAAGAUAGGAACAGAAAUGAGUUCUGAUUGAUGGUAAUCAGGUUGUUUGGUGCUAGCGGUAGUGUCCGGCAUCCACAGGGGGUCUUAGAAAUUAUCCCUUGAGCCAGGCACAGUGGCUUAUGCCUGUAAUCCCAGCACUUUGGGAGGCUAAGGCAGGUGGAUCAUGAGGUCAAGAGAUCAAGACCAUUCUGGGCAACAUGGUGAAACCCCAUCUCUACUAAAAAUACAAAAGUUAACUGGGCGUGGUGGCGAGCACCCAUAGUCCCAGCUACUCGGGAGGCUGAGGCAGGAGAAUCGCUCGAACCCAGGAGGUGGAGGUUGCAGUGAGCCGAGAUCACGCCACUGCACUCCAGCCUGGUGACACAGUGAGACUCCAUCUCCAAAAAAAAAAAAAAAAAAAAAAAAAAAAGAUAUUAUCCCUUGAGGAUAAGGGGGCACUACUGUACAGCAAGUAUAAUUUUAUGCAUAUACUCAAUAUAAUACUCCAAUAAAAGUGGCAGGAAGAUUGGGGACCAGUAUCUCCACCCCUUCCUCCACCUUCCUGCCCUAACAGCAGCCCCUCAAUAACUCUGGGCAACACAAGAAUCUGGUUUGAAAAUCAGUCUUCUAUUCCAGUGCUUCCUAGUGUCCAUCAUUUCAUGGAGCAGUAAAUUCCACCUUCCAAAAAUUAGGGUUGUUGGGGGGCUGACCUAGGGUUGCCAACUUUCUUCCCAUUAGUUAUGGCAGGCAUGCCUAGCUGCUCACUCAGUAACCAUUUCCUACUCCUCUAUCCCUUUCUUUCUUAGUUUUGUUUGAGGGGCUCAGGUACCCUGUCCUGGGCAAUUAAUCACCAUUAGUAAACCUGACACGGUAAUCUCAUUCCCUCUGCCAGAUUCUUGAUUUCCUAGACUUCCUUGCAGCUAAGGGUGUCCUUGUGACCCAGUUUAGCCAAUGAGAUACAUGAGGAAGGGAAAGAAUCAUUGGUUCCAUUUCACCCUCCCUCUUCCUACCUUGAACAUGAACACUAUGCCAAGAACAGUGACAGCCAUGGUGGGAUCAUGAAAGAAAGGGCCAGAGAAUCACAGAGACCCCUAUCUGCCUAGUGUUGGUGAGCACUGAUAUUUCCCCAGGGGCAUCUAUCUCCAGACUUCUUUUCAUGUUAAAAAGUAAGCCCCUAUUUGUUUGUGCCAUUGUUAAUUGUAUUUUUUGUUAUUUGCGUCUUGGAAAGAUGAAAUGAGUCAACAUCCAUUAUCAUCACCAAGCCAAAGAAGUUGAGCAGAGAUAAUGUUACAGAAAAAAAAAAGUUUUGUGAACAUUUUGGUGUGGUCUCUGUUUUUCUGAUUUUACUAUAGACUAGCAAAAACAUUUUCAUAGAGCAGCCUUAGCCGAUGGACAAAAAUGCCUGGGAAUUACCAAUCCUUACCACAGCAGCAGAUGGAAUGACUGAAGGGCCAUCCACCAUCAGACUCAUUACACAGGCUGGGCUUCUACUGUGGGACAUUCAGAUUGUUUCCUAUUAUUUCCUGUAUACACAGUGAUGCAAUGAACAUGUAUGAAACUAAAUCUUUGCUCUCAUCUUUACUUUUUCUUUGGAUGAAUUUCUUUGGAUGAAUUCCUAAAAGUGGAAUCUAGCUCAUUUUACCCAAAUGCCUUCCAGAAAGAAAACACCAAGUUAUAUUGUCACCUCCCCAUGGCUGCUUCAUACAGCCAAUUUGGAUUGAUAACAUGUGUUGCCCCAGGAUCCCUUCCCAAACUGCACUUGGGCCAAGGUGGUUGGAGUUGGCUGGCUUCUGCUCCCUACAACCAGGAAUCCUGAUUCACACAUCUGUAUCACCCUUCAGCCCUCCAAGAUCAAAGCCAUUGGCACAUUUACAAGUGGUCACUCCCCAUCGUAAAAUCUUCCCCUGCCCUUCCCAGUUUCCACAGAGGUGGAGAAGAAUAUCAAGCCUUCACUCAACUUCAGCUGUAGAACUUAAAACUGUGGGCCGGGCACGGUGGCUUAUGCCUGUAAUCCCAGCACUUUGGGAGGCCGAGGCAGGUGGAUCAUGAGGUCAGGAGUUCGAGACCAGCCUGGCCAAGAUGGUGAAACACCAUCUCUACUAAAAAAUUAGCUGGGCAUGGUGGCAGGCACCUGUAUUCCCAGCUACUUGGGAGGCCGAAGCAGGAGAAUCGCUUGAACCCGGGAGGCGGAGUUUGCAGUGAGCUGAGAUCACACCACUGCACUCUAGCCUGGGCAACAGACCAAGACUCUGUCUCAAAAAAAAAAAAAAAGAAAACUGUGUCACCAGGGCCUGCCGACAUCCUCAGGUCUAUCACCCACUCCUCACUGGUGCAUCCAGGUGCACGGUGUCAUUUACUGUUCUACAACCACAUCAUGAGCUUUUGUACCUGUUCUCAUCUGUGGGAAGGCAUUUUCCCUCUUUCCAGCUAACUGGUGCUCAUCUUUUAAAAUUCAGCUCAAACGUCACUGCUCCCAGGCAGCCUCCUUGACCUCCUCAAGCUGAGCAAGGGCCUGUGUUUGGACCCCCACCCCCUAUAUAAUGCUUCCCUCUAUAAUGCCAUGACCACACUCAUGUAUCUGUCUCAUUCCCUCACCAGACUCUUAGGUCCUCAAAGGAGGAGAGAGCCAAAGAAGCAGAGCUCCCUUGGAGAGAAGCUCUGUCCUCCCUGCUUGCCACACACACAAACCCUACCCACCCAUCGACUCCUUUUGGAGUCUGACUCGUGGCCUACCUCGUUGCCAGAGAGUGUUGGACUUGGUGCCCAAGGCCUAGAAUUGUGCCUAUGCAGGCACAUCCUUCCCUCUCUGGGCCUGAUCAGAGGAAGAAAUCAAAACGGAAAUUGUCAACCAGCCAUUCCAGCUCUCACAGUGGGUGUCUAAUAAUGGUUGCACCAGACUGGAAGAUGCUUGACAAAUCAUUCUCCCAGAAGUUCUAGCAGGAAGUAGAACUCAAAAGGAUUCAUCUUACAUCCAUUCCUUUUUCUUCUGGCAAAAGUCAUGGUUUUCUUUUUGGGAUUCAGUCCUCUCCUUCCUUCAGCCUGGGAGGGCGAAGGUGGAGUGUUGAUCUCAAGCCAAUCAGAGUUAGGUAUUCCCUGAACCAUGGUGAUUGGUUCAGGUAUGUGGGCCUGUGACAUGAAAGCCCAUCAGAAUUAGGUAUUUCCUGAACUGCAGUGAUUGGUUCAGGUAUAAGGCACAUGAACUGAGAGCCAAUUAGAGUGAAUCCCAAAACUACUGGAAGAUUGACAUUGCUUUGUGUGGAUUUGGAAUCCAGAAGCUGUAGUCACCUAGACUGCUGGAGAAUGAGGUCCACACUGAUGGAUCAAGACAGAGACCAGAUUUUGCCUGGGGUUCUAUUCACUGGGUUUGAAUUGAACCCAGUCGAUUCAUUUUUCCAAUCCUUGCAUCCAGCCUCUUCUGGACUAUUGGUUCUCUCUUCCUCACCUUUCCUCCUUCUUCUCCUCCCUUUUAUUUCUCCAUCUUCUAUCUCUAUUUCUUCCCCCACCCUUGCUUCCCUACCCAUCGUAUUGCAGACGUUUCUGGCUCUGGUCUGUCCAUGUGCACUGGCCUCACUGCUCCCUUGACUCACAGGGGUGGGAAUGGGGUCCUCAGAGGGGCUAGAGGAACAGGUGGCAGAGUGUGCAUGGAAGGGGUGGAGUGACUGGGCAACAGCCAGUGUUCCUGGAAUCUUCUACAGGGCAUUUCUUUAUUCUGGGCUCAUGGCUCAGCUGGUGUCAAGCAUCUUGUUACCAGCUGAGGAGCUUACACAUUGUGCUGGCUCUGUGAGUUUUCUGCAGCAUUGUGGGGGAAAGCCUUCCUCCCUGUCUGCUCCAUUUGCUCGUUACCAGGACUGUUCAAGGGCAACACCAGACACUGAAGGGAGAAUUAAAGGCAACGGUCUCCAUUAUGGUUUUAACAUCCUCCUUGUCAUGUUGAUUGGCAGGGAGCACAGAAGACAGUUAUGCCUCACCUAGAUUCAUACAUCUCCCCACCCAAGCCUGGGCCCAUCAUCUCUUCCUAGAACCGUUGCCCUUCCAGGCUCACCCUUCCACUAGCUUCUUCUAAUUUGGCCUCUAAAUUACUAACAAUGUGCUUUGUCUGAAACAUGUUCUAUUCAGGCCACUUCACGAAUUCAGGGAGUGGAUUAGUUAUAUAUGACCACAUGACAAAUUGCAAACCAUAGUGGCUUAAACUCAAAGUUGACAAACUAAAAUCCUCAGGCCAAAUCUGGCCUGCUGCUUGUUUUUGUAAAUAAAGUUUUGUUGGAACACGGCCACACCUAUUCAUUUAUGUAUCAUCUAUAGCUGCUUUUGCAGAGUUGAAUUAUCGUGACAGAGACAAAAAUACUUCCUUUUAGGCCCUUUAGAGAUAGUUCAUUAACCACUGGCUGUACACAACAACAGUCAUUUACCAAUCUGUCAUGGUUUCUAUGAGUCAAGAAUUUGGGAGCAGCUUGACUAGGUGGUUCUGGCUCAGGACCUUUCAUGAGGUUGCAGUUAGGUAUUGGCUGGGGCUAUGCUCAUCUGAAGGUUUGACUGGGGCUGAAAGAUCCACAUCCAAGGAGACUUACUUACAUAGCUGGACAGUUGAUACUGGCUAUAGGCUGGGUGGGGCCUGUGUUCCUUUUUACAUGGGCCUCAACACAAGACAGCUUAAGUGUCCUCAUGGCAUGGUGACUGCUGUCCUCAGAGUGAGCAGUCUAAGAGAACAAGGUGGAAGCUCAGUGCCCUUAGGAGCUAGAUUCAGAAGUCACACGCUGUCACUUCUGCCAUAUUCUACUGAUCACUCAGGCCAGUUGUAAUUCAAUGUAGAAAAGAUGACACAAAGGAAUAAAUACCAGGAUGUGGGAUAAUUUGGGGCCAUCUUAGAGGCUGGCCACCAUAUGGAAGACAAAAAUCAAUGCUUCCAUGAGCAUUUUGGCUCACAGAUGUGUUUUGUUAGGCUUGUACCAUGCUUUAAGUUGAUAUUUUAAAAUUGUGAGAUUUCACAAAAUAUCUAAAAUAUUUAAAUUAUUCCACAUUUCCACAUGUGACAAUAGGAUGGAAGUGAACAACAACUUCCCUCUUUGCAAGAGACAUAAUUCUUUCUAGUUUACCACAGAUCCCACCAUUCCUGACUGUAUCCUUAAAGGAGAAAAUGAAUUUCAGUGAUUAUUAACAAUUAUCCUUGGGUUGUUUCUUACUGUAAAGAAAUACUUCCCUGAAAGCUCUUCUAUAUCAAAAGACGGCAAAGAAAAGAUACACUAAGAGAAUCUCCCAUUUUAAAAAUAAUCAAGGGGGACCGCAUUUCUUAUUAGGAAAGAAGAAUGUAUCUGUAUAUUUAAUAUGCAUAAAAAAUGUGUGUAUUUUAAACAACCACAACCAAGACUUGUAAAAAUAUUACUGCUUAGCCUGUUGAGGCCGAUCUCCUUCCUGGCAUUAAAGAUCUUCUGUAUUCUGGUCCCUCCAUACCUUAAAGGCAAUAUGGCAUGAGGAUUAAAAGUUCAGAUGCUAGGAUCAGACUGUGUCAGUUCAAGUAUCAGUUCAACCAUUCACUAGUUGUGUCCUCAAUUUUAUCAUCUCAGAAAUGAAAAUCAUAAUAGUACCCAUCUCAGGGGGUUUUAUGGCUACCUUUUCAGCUCCAUUUUAAGCCCUGCCAGUACUCUAGCUACCCGAACACUCCAAACUAUUUUAUCCCUCUGUGUCUGUGCACAUUCUAUUUCCUCUGUCUGCAAUUCACAUGUCCUGCUUCUCUGCUGCAAAGCUCAGUCCACAGUGAGGUGGCUCUUCACCAAACAUGUCUGUAUCUCCCAGACACAGUGUAGGAUACUGCUUAUUGGCCCCCCUGUAGUUGGAUUGAGGUUAUGUGAUAAGAGCUGGUCAAUGAGUUGUGGGUACAAGUAACACAUGUCUCUUCCAGGCUGGAGCAUUUAACAGCAGGUUUGAAACCCUUGAGAAUUCUCUCUUCUUUAGGCCUCAGCAACUGGGCCCUGGAGUAAGGAUGACGAUGAUGGUGUGAGCAGAGCCACAGCCAAACCACGACACGUGUGUUGAGCAAAAUAUCUACCUCUGUGGUUUCAGACUUCAGGGUUGUAACAACAGCAUUAACUGGCUUACACUUACUCCUACAUCUGCUCUCUGCGGCUUUCCUUAAUCCUCCCAAACAUGGCAACAGUACAAACCUCUAUUGACAUAUGAUCCCCUUAUGCCCUGUAUUAAAUAACUGGCUUCUAUGUAUCAUGGUGCCUACAGGCACUGUUCCCUCCUCAGAGUGGCCUUCCCUAAGUACCUAUUGUAAAGAUGAUCUCUUUCUCCUCGCUGGAUGAAUACUCAGUUUAUUUAGUUCUUGGUACUUUAUUCUUAACAGCAAUUGUUUUUAUUUAUUUAAUUCUUGUCUGCCUCUCCCAUUAAACAAUAAACUUAUAGCCCUGGAGCUUAGCUCAGUGUUUGAUCCAGGGAUAUUAGUAAAUGAAUGAUUGAUUGAAUGAAUGAUCAAUGAAAACUGUACAUCCAGUGUUUAGCAUGGUGCCUUGUGAGACUGAGUGAAUGAAUGAAUGAAUGAAUGAAUGCAUGGCCCCUGGUACAACUCAACAACUCACCCACACUUAAUCAUAUUUGCAAGUUUCCUCUCUCAGGCCACAUCACAACUUGAAAGGCUGCAGAAGGCCCAGUGUAAGGGGCUGUAGCUGCUGCCUUUAUGUUUUCCCCCUUUUCUGCAAAAUGUUCUGUGAUCGUUUAAAGCCAGGAAGCAAAAUCAAAGGGCCCUGAAUUCAAAGAUGCUAAUUACCUUUCAAAGAGUUCCCCUUGGCUUUAGCCACAUGAUUCCUGUCAGAGGCUGUGGGAGUUUGUGGUUCCUGUGCUGAGCUUUGAAACAGGGAGGGAUUAAUGGGGCUUGAUUAAACCACAAAUGUCAGGAAGUGCAGAGGGCAGCUAGGAAUGCUGGCCACCUCUGUCCUGGAAUAGGAGGAACGACCACUGACCUCCCCUCCCCACACUGGGCUUGAUCUUCUGAUAAAGGGGCUGAAGGGGGAGGCAUCUUCUUCCCCCUCCUCUCAAGGGUGCCAUUUUCAUGCCUAUGAUGAUGCUCAUGUACAUGGAAAUGAGUGAUGUGCUAAUGAGAAUUUAGUUUUGCUUUUGUUAAAGCAACCCCUAAGGAGGCGUAAUAAGAAACCUGCCUACUAAUUUUCAGUGGCCUGACAUCAUAACAGCAACCUCCUCGGCUGCACAAAAAGAGGUUUGUGCUAAAAUAGUGAGAGAAAUGACAGUAAUAGGUACCGGUUCACUGAGCACCUAUCUUAGUACUAGGCACUGAGCUCAUUGCUUUAUAUGGUGAACUUUAUUUCAUCCUCAUAUCUGCCCUGGGGGAGAUGCGGGCUUUCAUUAACCCCAUUUUACAGAAGAGGAAAUUGAGGCUCAGAGAGGUAGAAGUGACAGACCAAAAGUUAACCCUGGGUCUCUCUCACUUCAGAACCAGAACCAUUCUCCCUUGCUCACUCUGUUGGUGAAUUCUAAGGGCCCAUGUCCCUGAUAUUCUCAGAUGAAUGAUUCUGUAGAAAACAUAAAGACAGAUAAGAGAAGUGGAGAGUCAUGCUGGAGAAGUUCAUACCAAUCGUGGUGAAUCCUUAUCUCGUUUUUGAGACCACCCUGGGCCUAAAUCAUACACUAUUUUAUUAAUUCCCCCCAACUACUGAGAAAGAAACCGGUAACACUUCCUGUCAGGAAGCUUUUUAGCUACGAGAAGCUAGAACUGAUCUCAGUGAGGAAGACGCUUUGGAUAUGCUUGCCCCAUAUCAGCCCUAACCCUUCCUUGCCUGUCUUCAUUAAGGAGGCUGGAAAAGUUGAAUAUCCACUUUACUGCCAGAAGUGGCCACAUGGCCAAUUCCAGCCAAUGAGAAAUGAGUGGAAGCCUCUACUUUCCUGAUAAGAGAAACAGACAUUGCUUGCAGCAGCCUUCCCUACCUCCUCCUCCUGCCUGGAAUAUGAUGUGAUGCCUGAACUGUGGCAGCCAUCCUGUAUUCAGAAGGAGAGGCCAAGAAAAUCACAGACAUUGCUGAGCCUGUGAUGACUAGCAUCACAGUCACUGUCAACCUCUAGAUUUUUUGAAAAUGAGAAGGAUAAAAUUUCUAUUUAUUUAAGCCUAUGUUAGCUAGAUUUUUUACUGCUUGAAAUAAAAAACACCUUAAUGGGUAUAGCCUUUUUCAGUAUGUCUCUUAUUAGAGUGAGGAAAUUCCCCCAUAUGCCCCUUUCUUGCCUAUUCCUCUCACAUCUCUGUCCAGAACUUGGUCCAAUGUCUCUUACUAAGCUAAUUGCUAGUCAGGGAAAGGAACCAACAUGGUUGGCUUAGACCAACAUGGUUCUUAAACUUGAAGUACAUCAUUGUCUUACGUGGGGGGCUUGUUAAAGUCCAGAUUUCUGAUUCCUAUCUCCAGAGUUUCUGAUUUAGUAGGUCUGAGAGGGUAUCUGAAAAUUUGCAUCUCAGGGAAAUGUUCUGCUCCACUAUCUAUACACGUAAUAUCAGAGAAAGUUUGCUGGGGGAAAAGUAAUCAAGGGAGGCUUCUUGGACGAGGGAUCAUAAGUUAAGACUUAAAGCUUAAGGAUGGAAAAGAUGUGUUAGGAUGGUGGCAGGAAGGAAUGCCCUUAGUGAGAAACAAAUGGCCAAAAAGAUGGUAAGUGGAAAAUGAGGAGGUGUGGUGUGGAGUAAAAUGGAGAGGAUUGGAUUGGGUAGGUACUGUGGUUUCAACUGAUGAAGGGCUUUCAUCAUUAGCUCCAGAAUCCAGGAGUUGAUUUUGGAGGCAAGAGGAAGGUAGGUUAAGAGCUUGGUCUUUAUUGCCAGACUUGUGAUUCAAGUCCUGGCUCCAUCAUUCAUUUAUUCAUUCAUUUAUAUUUUUGCUGUGGUUUUUCUGAGCAAGUCAAUUUCUCUCUCCUAGCCUUUAUUUUCUCUCAGAUAUAAAAUGGGAACUGAUGAUGCCUCUCUCAGAGGGGUCAUUAUAGGAUUUAAAUAAUACAUGCACCUAGUGCUAAAUCCAUGAUAGCUGAGAGAAAAAUACUCAUUUUGAGAAAAACCUGUAUCCUCAUCUCUCAUGACAUGUUAAUUGGUGGGCUGAGGUUCAUCACCAAAUAACUUCAAGAAAUACUGAGUUAGUAAAGGUUUCUUUACUGUAGGACUUUGCAGAGACUUUAAUAUGCUAAUAUGAGGGAUGAAUCUCAUGAGAAAGACAGUGACCUGCAGCAUUUCCCCAAGCUUGUUUUGCUCACAAAAUGCUUUUUUAAAAAUAUAAAUUAUUGUAAACAUUUUUGGGAAUGCUCAUGUUUAGCAGAACAAUGAGAAACCAAUGUAAAGCAUCUAGGUACUAUUUUACAAAAAGUUUUCAUUUAUGUUUUAAUGAAGCAUAAAAAUGGCAGCAUUUUGUCAAUUCAUUAGGUUAUACUUCUGUGUUAGUCAGUUUCCCUAAGUUAUGCUGGCAUAACUAAUAACCGUCAAAUCUCCCUGGCUUACAACAACAAAUAUUUAUUUCUUAUUCACCUUACACUCAGGACUGGCUGCAGCUCUGGCCAAAUCCUCUUCUUCCUGGGACCCAGCUGAUAAAACAACCCUAUUUGGAAUACACUAUUCUGGUGGAAGGCAGAGAAAAGCCACAGUGGAAACGUGGUGGCUCUUAAGGCUUCUGCUUAGAAGUGGCAUUACCUCACUCAGGUCAUAUAUCAUUGGCCAAAGUAAGUCACAUGUCCAGGCCUGAUGUCAAUGGCACAGGAAGUAUAAUUCUCUUAUAGGGAGCAAGAGAGAGCUUUGGGAACUAAAAAUACGGUCCAUUCUGUUGUUAAAAGAAAAACUUUAGACAAAUUAAAUUUAGCAGAGUUUAUUUGGGCAAAAAAGUGAUUCAUGAAUUGGGCAGUACUCAGAGCUAGAAGAGGUUCAGAGAGCUCCACUUUAGCAGUUGAGCUGCAGGCUUUUAUAGGGUGAAUGUGGAAGCAAAGCAAAGACAUUGCUUGACUGGCUACAAGUAGGUGUUUGCCUUAUUUGGGCACGAUCUGGUGGAAAGUCCCUAGAGGUUAGUUGGCGGUUUCAAAUUAGCUAAGUCUCCAGGAUCAUUUUACGGUUUACAUUAGGCUUUGAUUUGCUUACAUAGGAACCCAAAGCACUGGAGCUAUCUCAGCAUAAUGGCACCUCAACUUAAAAAUAUUAACACUGUCAUUUUGAAAAUAGCCACCCUGUUUUAAAAUACUGCCUAAUUUGCAUUGUUCAUUAAUUUAGUUUUGUCUAAAAUUGGAUUAUAUUGUAAAUUAAAUAGCGAAGAAAAUGAUCAUAUUUAUAAUAUUGAGACAUCUCAUCCAUGAAUUUGCCAUAUUUCACCAUUUACUUAGGCCUUCAUGUCCCUCAAUACAGUUUUCUUUUCUUUUCUUGGUACCUCACAGUUUAUGAAGUAUAUUUAAUUCUCCAGAAACUCUCUAAGUUGCUAAGUUGCUAUUUUGAUUAUUCUCUCAUUUUUUUCUUUUUUUUUUUUUUGAGACAGGGUCUCACUCUGUCACCCAGGCCAGAGUGCAGUGGCGUGAUCUCGGCUCACUGCAGCCUCUGCCUCCUGGGUUCAAGUGAUUCUUGUGCCUCAGCCUCCUGAGUAGCUGGGACUACAGGCACGCACCACCAUGCCCAGCUAAGUUUUGUAUUUUUAGUAGAGAUGGGGUUUCACCAUGUUGCCUAAGCUGGUCUUGAAAUCCUGACCUCAAAUGAUCUGCCCACCUAGGGCUCCCAAAGUGCUGGGAUUACAGGAGUGAGCCACCAUGCCCAGCCGAUUAUUAUUAUUUGAUAAAUGAAGAAAUUGUGGUUUACAGAGAGCCCAAGUCCAUUUUACUUCUAAAUAAAGCUUAGGUCCAAGGGCUGAUUCAGGUGCGUGUGACAAAACCAAUCAAAGUGUUUUUCAAAACUGAGAAACCCAGACAUGGCUGAAUCUGUAGGAUCUUAUUGGUGUCCUAGGUGCACUCUUCCUACCUUUAUCUCUCAGCUUGGGUGUCUUGUUUGUUCACGUCAUUCUCAAGCAGAUAUUCCCCAUAUGACAAAAGGAUAGUUGUCAGAGGUUCAUUGCCAUUGGCAACCCUAGAGAAAACCUGAGACUGUCUUUCCCCGAGCAUCCAUGUCAAUCCCUGAGAAGGACUCUAAUUGGUCAGCCUGGCCUGGUGCUCACUCUUGCAUAGGACCACAUGAUUGACAGCCCCAUUAAAAUCAUUUGGAGAGGUAGGGGGAGAGUUCCCUAAAGGGAACGAAGGGCUGAAGGAGAAUGAUGCUAGGUGGCCAGAAUGAAUGGCAGAUGCCCACUGUAUCGUGCAGUCCCCACUGCCCUUCACUGGGGUGUGGAGGGAGGAGGCUUGCAUCCUGUGUUGGCUUUGCUAGUAGUAAUUUUGUCAUAUUGUAACUCACUUCUGCCUAACCUACCUCCUCCAGUCUAAGCAAGCUGGUCUUCUCUUGUCCUGCUCACUUGCACUUUGAAGCCAAUUCCCCAGUUCCACCUAGUAUGAAACCACCCAUUUUCCUGGGUGUCCCUGGCAAGUUUUGGAUUUUCCGUGAAACUCAGUUUUUUCAUCUCUUAAACUGGAAUAAUUGCUUCACAGGGUCAUUGUGUGUAUUACAUAAAAGUGCAUUGGCUAUCCUUGUUUCCCUUGCAUAUUCUUUCCUGUGCACUCUUCUAGGGAUCACCUCUGAGACAGUGAUGCGUAAGGAAGGUAUUUCCAACUUGGGAACACUUGGGCCCAUCAGAGGCACUUAUGACAGAUUGCCUGGUGUCUUAGUCUGUUCAUGUUGCUUGAACAAACUACCAUAGACUGGCUAUCUUAUAAAUAAAUAAUAGAAAUUUAUUUCUCAUAGUUCUAGAGGUUGGAAGCCCAAGAUUAAGGCACUGGCAGAUUUGGUGUCUGGUGAGGGCCUUCUUCCUUGUUCAUAGUCUUCUUACUGUGUCCUCACAUGGCAGAAGGGACAAGAGAUCUCCCUGGGACCUCUUUCAUAAGGGCACUAACCCCAUUUAUAAGGGCUUUAUCUCCCAAAGGGCUCAUUUCCACACACCAUCACAUUGGAGAUUAGGUUUCAACAUAUGAAUUUUGGAUGGACACAUUGAGUCUAUGGCACCUAGAAAAAGAGUGAGAUCAGCCCUUUAGGUGCAAGGACUUAAAAAAAUGUCCUCCUAGAGAGGAAGAAGAAGGGACCAUGGUUGGGGCUUUGGGUCCCUGAGGAAGAGGAUGACUCAGCCAUGGCGAAGAUGUGUUUUGGGGUCAGGCUGUAGCUUGGGAUGGGCCCAUGUCUGUGGUCAGGGGAGAGGAAGGCUGUGAGCAGGCAGAAUGCUGGUGUCUGGACCAGCAGUCCCACAUGGCCGUUUGCUCCAGUGGCAGCCCACCCAGGCAGGCACCCUCUGUCUUGGCCCCAUACCCAUAUACAUAUUCUGGGGAUGUUGCUACCUCACUUCACUAUGUGAGCUGGGCCAUAGUCUACUUCCACCCUUCAGAGAUGCUGCCAGCAAUGUUCUGGCCAAAUCCAGCCUGCAGACCCAUUUGGUGUGGCCCACACAGUGUGUGGUGCUUUUAUAAAUGGCUGCAAAUUCAUUGAUGCUCUUCCAUCAAGAGGUGAAGUCUGUGCUCCCCUUCCCUUGGAUCUGGGUGGGUAUGUGGCUGCUUGACCAGUAGAGUAUGGUAGAAGUGACACUAUGGAACUGAAGCCAGGCCAUAAAAGGCCAUGCAGCUUUCAUCUGCAGCUCCCACGCUCAGGACACUUCGUCUCAGAACACAGCCACCAUGCUGUGGGAAGCUCAGACCACAUGGAGAAGCCAUGUGUAGGUGCCCCAGUGGACAGUCCCAGCCGAGUCCAGCCUUUGAGUCAUCCCAGCCCAGAGAGCAGAUAUCUGAGUAGAGAAGCCUCUCGAUGAUUCUAGCUCCAGCUAUUUGAAUCUUCCCAGCUGAAGCCCCACACACCAUGGAGCUGAGUGAAGCCGUCCCCACUUGCCCUGUCCAAACUUGACACGAAGAAUCCAUGGACAUCAUAAAAUGGUUGCUUGAUGUCACUAAAUCUGGGGUGAUUUGUUACAUGGAAAUAUUAACUGGAAAAUAGUGCUUCUAAAAUCUGAUUUUCAUGCCAACAUUUAAAGUUGGGAGCUUUCACAUGCAAACCUGAAUUUCUGACUUUGAAUGAAAAAUAAAAUAAAUCUGGCUAUACUGGGUUUUCAUCCUUGUUUAGCAAAAAUUAGUCAGAGUUACCCCCUUGAGAAGGGAUAUAGAUGGCCUGUCUGCUUUGGCCCCCACCUGGCCACCUCUGCUUGUUUAAGUCACAGGGGUCAGGCUACUUGCCUGGUCCCUGUAGGCAUGUGGCUAUGUUGGCCCUAAGCCAGAACCAUCCUGUCACCUCUUGGGAUGCCCAAGUUCUCAGAGCCUUUCCUCUCCUUGAUGACUUAGACAUCCCUGACCUCUGUGGGUGCCCCCCUUUCAUCCCUGGAGCUACAUAAACCUACAAAACCAUGCCAGGUUCUAUCCUUCUCUUUGCUUAGAAAACUGCUUAUGUGAAACAAAAACCAGCCAGGGCCCUGAGGUGGUGAUGGCCAUGUCUGGAGCUUGCUUGUCCCUGUAAACAAUUUCCUUGUGAUAAUCUUUUCACUUAUCCUCCCAAGCUGGAACUGCUGUGUGAAAUCAAGCCGGGUGCCGUUGGCUUAUCCUGUACAUCUUGGAGUCAUUAAGAUCUGGCUUUAUAUUUUAGGGUGAGUUGUCCAGAGCCACUGAGGCCAGGAAUUCUAGGAUCCUUAACACGUGUCAUGGUAUUAUAGGAACUUAGAAACAAGUCCAGGACAGAUCUUAUAAACAGCAAGACUUAAAAAUCAAUCUAUCUUAACACCAAAUAUAGAUGAGCCAGGUACAAAUUCCAGUGAAUAUCUUUCUUUAUUUUUCCUAUACAAACCAUUUAUUUUUUAAGCUUCCAUUCAUGCAGCUAGCA
This 16501-nucleotide long non-coding RNA is filed under the name Homo sapiens (human). RNAcentral describes it as "HSALNT0399120". The record is from RNAcentral. Lineage: Eukaryota; Metazoa; Chordata; Mammalia; Primates; Hominidae.